GAGGGUGUAGCUCAGGCGGUAGAGCAACGGACUUUUAAUCCGUAGGUCGCGGGUUCGAGUCCCGCCACCCUCA
RNAcentral lists this transfer RNA (73 nucleotides) under Planctomycetota bacterium. RNAcentral describes it as "tRNA-Lys". It matches the Rfam family "tRNA". From Rfam's summary of the family: Transfer RNA (tRNA) molecules are approximately 80 nucleotides in length. Their secondary structure includes four short double-helical elements and three loops (D, anti-codon, and T loops). Further hydrogen bonds mediate the characteristic L-shaped molecular structure. tRNAs have two regions of fundamental functional importance: the anti-codon, which is responsible for specific mRNA codon recognition, and the 3' end, to which the tRNAs corresponding amino acid is attached (by aminoacyl-tRNA synthetases). tRNAs cope with the degeneracy of the genetic code in two manners: having more than one tRNA (with a specific anti-codon) for a particular amino acid; and 'wobble' base-pairing, i.e. permitting non-standard base-pairing at the 3rd anti-codon position. Lineage: Bacteria; Pseudomonadati; Planctomycetota. RNAcentral also lists the same sequence under 1 other name. The record is from RNAcentral.